Molecule: ribosomal RNA, 457 nt
Filed under: uncultured bacterium
Lineage: Bacteria
Description: partial 16S ribosomal RNA
Rfam family: Bacterial small subunit ribosomal RNA
Source: RNAcentral
CCUACGGGUGGCAGCAGUGAGGAAUAUUGGUCAAUGGACGAGAGUCUGAACCAGCCAAGUAGCGUGAAGGAUGACUGCCCUAUGGGUGGUAAACUUCUUUUAUAUGGGAAUAAAAUGUUCCACGUGUGGGAUUUUGUAUGUACCAUAUGAAUAAGGCUCGGAUAACUCCGUGCCAGCAGCCGCGGUAAUACGGAGGAUCCGAGUGUUAUCCGGAUUUAUUGGGUGUAAAGGGAGCGUAGGUGGAUUGUUAAGUCAGUUGUGAAAGUUUGCGGCUCAACCGUAAAAUUGCAGUUGAAACUGGCAGGGUUGAGUAGAGUAGAGGUGGGCGGAAUUCGUGGUGUAGCGGUGAAAUGAUAAGAUAUCACGAAGAACUCCGAUUGCGAAGGCAGAUUACUGGGCAGCAACUGACACUGAGGCUCGAAAGUGUGGGUAUCAAACAGGAUUAGAUACCCGAGUC